This 384-nucleotide ribosomal RNA is filed under the name uncultured bacterium. Its description in RNAcentral is "bacterial SSU rRNA". It matches the Rfam family "Bacterial small subunit ribosomal RNA", at positions 417 to 793 of the family's 1533-position model. The record is from RNAcentral.
UUCGGGUUGUAAAGUACUUUCAGCAGUGAGGAAGGUGGUGCAGUUAAUAGCUGUAUCAUUUGACGUUAGCUGCAGAAGAAGCACCGGCUAACUCCGUGCCAGCAGCCGCGGUAAUACGGAGGGUGCGAGCGUUAAUCGGAAUUACUGGGCGUAAAGCGCAUGCAGGUGGUUUGUUAAGUCAGAUGUGAAAGCCCGGGGCUCAACCUCGGAAUUGCAUUUGAAACUGGCAGACUAGAGUACUGUAGAGGGGGUAGAAUUUCAGGUGUAGCGGUGAAAAUGCGUAGAGAUCUGAAGGAAUACCAGUGGCGAAGGCGGCCCCCUGGACAAAGACUGACGCUCAGAUGCGAAAGCGUGGGGAGCAAACAGGAUUAGAUACCCUGGUAG